CGACGGGGGAGAUUCAAUGCCUCGCCGGUGCUGGCCGCUUAGCGACGUUCAGGGACGUCAUGCGGUUUCGGCCGUUUAACGCUCCGUCGUUGAGUUGUUGUUCAGUGCCGGAGGUAUGCACUUCUCCCCUUGUAGGACGUCGCGACCCGUUGGGUGCUGGUCUAAGGCCUGCGUGGUAGACCGUGGCGGUGCGUUCGCGUAUCGACCCGGACCCGCGGUGUCCCGGCCGGCCGCCCGACGGUAUGACUUGUGGUGUUGGGUCGCUGCCCAUUCGUGUGGCGAGCGUUCUAGCUCACGGCAAGUGUAUACGUGGACCGUAGAAAUCGGACCUAGUGCCGGUUCUGCACCCGUGUCACUGUUGGCUGUGAUGCUCUAGAACCGAUCCCGGCAUCCGUCAGCGACGCUUCAGCUUUGGGUAAUUUCAGGACCCGUCUUGAAACACGGACCAAGGAGUCUAGCAUGUGCGCGAGUCAUUGGGACUCAAUAAACCUAAAGGCGCAAUGAAAGUGAAAGUCUGUUUACGCGGACUUAGGGAGGAUAGGUGCGUACACAUCUGUGUACAACCUCGCACUCCCGGGGCGUCUCGCACUCA
RNAcentral lists this ribosomal RNA (592 nucleotides) under Carabus lusitanicus lusitanicus. RNAcentral's name for it is "eukaryotic LSU rRNA". Lineage: Eukaryota; Metazoa; Arthropoda; Insecta; Coleoptera; Carabidae. The record is from RNAcentral.